Lolium perenne is the source of this 1728-nucleotide non-coding RNA. The record is from RefSeq and is a predicted model, not a curated record. NCBI's taxonomy places the organism in Eukaryota, Viridiplantae, Streptophyta, Magnoliopsida, Poales, Poaceae.
CGUGCCGGAUUCAAAGGCCAGUACAUCCACCCGUCGGCGAUCGCCUCGCAUGUACUAGCUCCGCCCGCCAGCCUACCGAUCCCGUGCCGGCCUACCGCCUCCCACCUCCACCCCCUCCACCACUCCCACCGCCCGCCGCCCACCGCCUCGAUCCUGCUGCCCACCGCCCCGAUUCGCGCCGCCGUCAUGCCGCUGCUGCUCGGAUCUUCGCGGAGAUUCUUCACCUGCAAGAGCCGACGCGACCAGCUCUGCUCGCCGUCCGAUGGGUCGCCGCGACCAGCUCCACCUCCGUGCGGAGGGGCCGCCACGACCAGCUCCACCUUCGGCCGCCGCUCCACUCGCCGUCGCAGGGGCCGCCGAGACCAGCUCCACCUCCGGCGGAGGGGCUGCCUCUCCGCUCAUCGUUGCAGGGGCCGCCGCGACCAGCUCCACCUCCGGCUGCCGUCCGCCCCUCCGCUCGCCGUCACGGGGGCCGCCCAGACCAGCUCCACCUCCGGCCGCAACUCUGCUCGCCGUUGCGGGGGCCGCGGCUAGCAGUUCCACCUCCGGCCGAUGCUCUGCUCGCUAUUGCAGGGGGCGCCGCCCUUCUCGCCGUCGCUUCAACGACGGAGGUGACGCGCAGGAUAUCGCUAGCAUUCGCGAACACACGCAGGGGCUCCGUGCCUUGUGCUCGCCGUCGCUGCAACGAUGAAGGCGACGCCCAGGAGCUCCGCCCCCGCCAUCGUGUCCGGCUCGCUGGUGCAGAUUGCAGAAAAGUUUAAUUCGAGUAAAUGGGCACCUGACAUGAAGGAGGCGGUCGAAGAGCUGCAGGGAGUAGACGCCCUCCUAUAGGCGAAGCUUAACUAAUUUUCAUGGCAUUUAUAGUGUCGAGGCUUGCUUUGGCCUGCCAAAUUUCUGCAGCAGUCUAUCUUCAUGCUGGAGCUUGCCGCGUCGAGUGGUUGCGGCUUAGAUAGGGGUUUGCCUGUGCUAUACAUUAAGCAGUCCAUCUGCACGGGUGAACAAUAUCAUCUCCAGGGAUGAGGGUGGCCGGAGCUCUUUCUAAGGGGCCAGUCACCUCCUGGAGUCGAUUGACAUGGACCUCAUGAAGACGGUCUACGUCGCGAUCGAUGAGGAGAAGCUCGAGCCACCGGUGUGCCUGGUGCGAGGGCUGUCGGUGCAAGGUACAUUCCUGGAUGAUCUUUUGCUCCGUGUUACGGGCAUGAAGGCGAGUGCGGUGGUCUGUGAUGGCGGUGCUGAAGUCUUGGCUGAAGUGGCCAAAAUUAGAUAUAUGUGUUUGAUCUCAUGUCGAUGAUGAUUUUCAAUUAAACCGCAGCAGUAUCUCGGUGUGAAGAGGGGUGCGACGGAGAUAAAACAACAUCCAUUCUCUGAGGGCGUGAACUGGGAUCUCAUCCAUUGCAGCACGCCUCCUGGGGUACCAAGGCCCGUGGAAGCAGAGCUUCCCAUGAAGUACAUGAUGCCAGUAGCCAUCGCCAACAACAACAAGAGGGCGGUAGGGGCAUGAACACGAAGUUCCGGAGGGAAGUACCUUGACUUUUGAGUUCUUUUAGAGUUGUGCCUAGCGGUAGAGCUAUUGCUUGCAUACUGUUUGAGUUAGGUCAGUGUGGUGUUGUGAUUUGAUGCGGUUUUGUUUGUGUCAUCACUGUUACUUACAAACUUCUUGCAUCUAAAGUGGCCAAAAUUAGGUUGAUGUGUUUGAUCUCAUGUUGAUGAUGAUUGCCUUUCUUCAAA